AUUGAACGCUGGCGGCAGGCUUAACACAUGCAAGUCGAGCGGGGUGAUGGUGCUUGCACUAUCACUUAGCGGCGGACGGGUGAGUAAUGCUUAGGAAUCUGCCUAUUAGUGGGGGACAACAUCUCGAAAGGGAUGCUAAUACCGCAUACGUCCUACGGGAGAAAGCAGGGGAUCACUUGUGACCUUGCGCUAAUAGAUGAGCCUAAGUCGGAUUAGCUAGUUGGUGGGGUAAAGGCCUACCAAGGCGACGAUCUGUAGCGGGUCUGAGAGGAUGAUCCGCCAGACUGGGACUGAGACACGGCCCAGACGCCUACGGGAGGCAGCAGUGGGGAAUAUUGGACAUGGGGGGAACCCUGAUCCAGCCAUGCCGCGUGUGUGAAGAAGGCCUUAUGGUUGUAAAGCACUUUAAGCGAGGAGGAGGCUCUUUUGGUUAAUACCCAAGAUGAGUGGACGUUACUCGCAGAAUAAGCACCGGCUAACUCUGUGCCAGCAGCCGCCGUAA
This 502-nucleotide ribosomal RNA is filed under the name uncultured bacterium. Its description in RNAcentral is "partial 16S ribosomal RNA". It matches the Rfam family "Bacterial small subunit ribosomal RNA", at positions 30 to 523 of the family's 1533-position model. The record is from RNAcentral.